UGAAAAAAAUAUGGUGCAAAGUACAUGUUAGAAUUUUGUAGUGGUUGGAUGAAUAUAAGGUAAAAUAAAAGUGGUACAAUGAUAAUUUCACUUCUCAAAAUAGCAGUUUAAUCCUUGUAAGUUAAAAAAUAUCAAUGAAGAGCCGUGUGAUUUUUUUUCUUCUUCUUUGUUUCUUUUUCCCCCCUUUUUCCCAGCAUUAAAAAUUCGGUCAGAAACAUAAAUAAAUUUUCAUCGUAAUAAUUUUUUUAACCAACUUCCUGUGGAAUGAAUCUGCCGUCGGAACUAGUGGAGGUUGAGAUUUUAGAAUGCCUAAUGGGAAAAGGAUCGUGCAGUGAGUGAUACGCAAGCCCAGAAAGCUGUAGAUUUGACUUUGUAGAACAAAUCCAAUUAACUAGAUUCAUUUACAGAUAAUCUAGAUGCCUCCACAAUAAGGAUAUAUAAUGCUCAUAAUAAUUCCGCAAAAAUAAGUUUUUCAAACUUGUACACCAUAUACCAAAGGGAGAAGAAUGGACCGUCUGGAACUCCAAACCAUCAUAAAAGUUUAUCUUGUAUAAAAGGAUGUUGAGCUUCGAAUAGCUAGCCUUUUGACUUUUAAAAGCAUUUAAUUUUUUUAAAUACGCGCCAUAAAAGUUGAUUUCUCCUUUUUGUUGAGGUAAAUGAUGACGAUAACCAUUAACUCUGACAUCUUUUAUAUACAGUAAAUUUUUUUAUAAAUUA
This 717-nucleotide long non-coding RNA is filed under the name Citrus x clementina. Its description in RNAcentral is "Citrus clementina (C. clementina) long non-coding RNA (CCLE_LNC005671)". The record is from RNAcentral. Lineage: Eukaryota; Viridiplantae; Streptophyta; Magnoliopsida; Sapindales; Rutaceae.